Molecule: long non-coding RNA, 228 nt
Filed under: Phoenix dactylifera (date palm)
Lineage: Eukaryota; Viridiplantae; Streptophyta; Magnoliopsida; Arecales; Arecaceae
Description: long non-coding RNA (PDAC_LNC017691)
Source: RNAcentral
GUGAUUUGUGGUUUCAAAGUAGUUUCAUUGGUAUAAAUAUUGACUUGGUGGAGAUUUUUUAAUUUGAAUGCCUCAUUUUUGAUUAUGAACUCAAGAAGAGUGGUUACCCUCUUCUUCAUCAAAGUCUGUGCGCACGUACGUACAUACAUACAUAAAUCUCACCCUUCUUUUCUGCAUAUCACAAUUCCACUCAAAUAAGUCUAACAAUUUUCAAUUGUUCAUAAAUAU